Molecule: ribosomal RNA, 253 nt
Filed under: uncultured bacterium
Lineage: Bacteria
Description: partial 16S ribosomal RNA
Rfam family: Bacterial small subunit ribosomal RNA
Source: RNAcentral
UACGUAGGGUGCGAGCGUUAAUCGGAAUUACUGGGCGUAAAGCGUGCGUAGGCGGUUCGUUAAGUUCGUCGUGAAAGCCCCGGGCUUAACCUGGGAAUGGCCAUGGAAACUGGCGAGCUGGAGUGUGGCAGAGGGGGGUGGAAUUCCGCGUGUAGCAGUGAAAUGCGUAGAGAUGCGGAGGAACACCGAUGGCGAAGGCAGCCCCCUGGGCUAACACUGACGCUGAGGCACGAAAGCGUGGGGAGCAAACAGG